Long non-coding RNA from Bactrocera dorsalis (oriental fruit fly), 1678 nucleotides. RefSeq lists it as uncharacterized. NCBI's taxonomy places the organism in Eukaryota, Metazoa, Arthropoda, Insecta, Diptera, Tephritidae. The record is from RefSeq and is a predicted model, not a curated record. The transcript is spliced from 2 exons.
ACAAGCAGCUACACAGCAAUAUACAGUUGAGUCGAGUCAAAAAGCAACCACUACACAGACCAGCAGAGACUUCGUGCAUGUCUGUAUGUCAGCAGUUGCCACUAGGCGUACGGGCCGGCAGCAGAUAUAACGCAUACACACUUUCACAUACAUUUAGUUAUGCAAACAUACGAACAUGUACGUGCUGACGACCAGCGUCUAGAGCGACUAUAGAGGAGAAGUGAGUGACAUACUAUAAUAAUACAUACAUAUUUACGUGUAGAGAGGCCAUCAAGGCAAGAGCAGCAGCGUCGAUAUUAGUAGUGGCAGCUGCAACAACAGCACCGGCAAAGCAAAAGUAUAGCUGACAUGGUUGUGCGAUAUAGCUGGCCUGCCUUUGGCUGCUUUUAAUAUGGCUGCCAUACGAACGAGCUAACGAACCAGCAAGCCGGUGAACUAACGAACGGCCAUACGAAUACGGCAAGCAAAUUUAUAUACAUGUACAUACAUACGUCUGUAUGUAAACGCACAUUUGUAGCGCUGCUGACUGAUUUCGAUACAUUUCAACUCAAUUCAACUCGUGGUAAAGGCGAUUGUAGAGCAAAGCACCACUGCUAAAUCGAAAUGGCGAGCUGGCUGGCUGACUGACUGAUUGGCGGUCUCGCCGAGCGUCUGACGCACCGAACAGCCCGACAAAUUGACAUUGUGACUGCUUUGACUGGCUUGUUGGCUGUACUCUACGACUGGUGUAGAUACAAGUAUGCAGGCAGGCAGGCAGUGCCAGUAAAGUAAGUAGAUUUCGCUCGAUCGUAUACAAAAACGGUUGAUUCGUGGUGUGAGAAAUGGUAGUCAUUUGAAGGGUACUAUGUGAAUUUUGCCGGGGUACUGGAUUGCAGUGGUGGGGCAAGGCGGCGGUAUGAGUUAACGAACAAAUAUGUACAUAUGUAUGUAUGUGCGCCAGCGAGCAGGCUGGUUAAUAUUAAUAACAACAACAACAAAAACGAUUGCAAAAACAACGGUUUAACAUAAAAAACAACAAGAACAACAAACAUACUAAAGUAGCAACGCAUACAGCUGUCGUAUAAUCAGCCGCCUCAGUACAGUACUGUGCUACAGCAAUGAGCUGACUGAAGCAAAGAUAGCAACAAUAAAAAACACAAGCACAUUUUGCACGAAGCUCACAACUACCUAUCUACAUAUGUAUGUACAUACAUAGCAUAUACUAUACAUAUCUACAUGUACUAUAUGGAAUCGAAUGAGACGAAGCGUUCGACGACCGCCUAUCUACCCUCACGCAGCAAAUGUCCCACAGCGUCGUGCAAAUAACGUCUGUACCGAAAACUCAGCAAGCAGCUGCCGACUCAUUGACAAAACGAACGAAUAAACACCACAUACAUGUAUGUAUGUAUAUAGUUAUGCUCACGAAUGGGUGGCGUUUUGGCUCUGCAUGAGAAAAAUAUACAUAUAUUUCUGUACGUCGUUGCUCUUGCAGUGCGUUGCUGUUGACGUUUAUCACACUGGUGGCGUGCACAUUAAGCUGAUGGCUUCGUAUGAAAAUCGGCCAUUGCACUGUGUGUCGUUCAUAUGAAAUGUUUGACAACCAAGUAAACAACCAGACAGUCGACUACCAGAUAGGUAAGUAGCCAGUUAGUCAGCUAUCGCGGGAAAAUCUCUACCAGCGCAUGCAUUCAUGUUCAUA